Molecule: non-coding RNA, 99 nt
Organism: Mycena amicta
Lineage: Eukaryota; Fungi; Basidiomycota; Agaricomycetes; Agaricales; Mycenaceae
Source: the annotation of a GenBank genome assembly
AGGCCGAUGGUGUAGUUGGUUAUCACUUCUGUCUAACAUCCUAACGUUACAAGCGUCGAUGUGCACAGGCGGUCCUCAGUUCGAACCUGGGUCGGCUCA